RNAcentral lists this microRNA precursor (98 nucleotides) under Marmota monax (woodchuck). The record is from RNAcentral. Lineage: Eukaryota; Metazoa; Chordata; Mammalia; Rodentia; Sciuridae.
UGUUGAAUUAUAUGGUAAAGGUAUGUUCAGUUUUUUUUUAAGAAACUGCCAAACUAUCUUCCAAAGUGGCUGUACCAUUUUGUACUCCUCCCAAUAGU